GGAACCCACUGCUGGGAUGUGGAGGUUAAAGAGAGUUCAUCCUGGGGUCUGGGAGUAACUACAGCAUCAAACCAGAGGAAGGGAGAGGAUUUCUUUAACACUGAUGUCUGCAGUUUGAGUGAUUUGAUCAGUACAGAGUA
This is a long non-coding RNA of Sinocyclocheilus grahami, 140 nucleotides long. RefSeq lists it as uncharacterized. The record is from RefSeq and is a predicted model, not a curated record. The transcript has 4 exons. NCBI's taxonomy places the organism in Eukaryota, Metazoa, Chordata, Actinopteri, Cypriniformes, Cyprinidae.